This 513-nucleotide ribosomal RNA is filed under the name uncultured bacterium. RNAcentral describes it as "bacterial SSU rRNA". It matches the Rfam family "Bacterial small subunit ribosomal RNA", at positions 17 to 518 of the family's 1533-position model. The record is from RNAcentral.
AUCUGGCUCAGAACGAACGCUGGCGGCGCGUCUUAAGCAUGCAAGUCGAACGGCAAGAGGUAGCAAUACCUCCUAGAGUGGCGGACUGGUGAGUAACACGUGGGUGACAUACCCUUCAGAUGGGGAUAGCUAUUAGAAAUAGUAGAUAAUACCGAAUACGAGCACAGGGGUUAGAGAUCUGUGAGGAAAGGAGCUAAGGCUCCGCUGAAGGAAUGGCCUGCGGCCCAUUAGCUAGUUGGUGAGGUAAGAGCCCACCAAGGCGAUGAUGGGUAUCCGGCCUUAGAGGGUGAACGGACACAUUGGGACUGAGAUACGGCCCAGACUCCUACGGGAGGCAGCAGCUAAGAAUAUUCCGCAAUGGACGAAAGUCUGACGGAGCGACGCCGCGUGGAUGAAAGAAGGCCGGAAGGUUGUAAAAUCCUUUUGAAACUGAAGAAUAAGCGUUGUAGGGAAUGACAGCGUGGUGACAGUAGGUUUUGAAUAAGCAACGGCUAAUUACGUGCCAGCAGCUGC